AUUUAAUAUUUCAACUAAGCCAUAUAAGGGGAGAUAGCUAUCAUAGUAAAAUUUUUGUGAAUGAUAUACCUUUCCACAUGUAACAAGAAAACAAGUUUGAGUACACCUUUUUUAUAUGACUGCAAAAAAAUUGAGUCAGAUAAUGCUAUCAUGUCGUCCUCGUCUGAAGACACAUUUAGUUUCCGAACAAUAACUUUAGUUUUAGUUGGGGUGGUUAGUAUUGACUUGGAGGGGGCUCAAUUUUUUUUGGAAUUAGGGGCAAAGAAAGGGGGAUAACUAGGUUUUUCUGGUCAAUGGACAAUUAAGACAAUUUAACAGCAG
RNAcentral lists this long non-coding RNA (321 nucleotides) under Mytilus galloprovincialis (Mediterranean mussel). The record is from RNAcentral. Lineage: Eukaryota; Metazoa; Mollusca; Bivalvia; Mytilida; Mytilidae.